This 433-nucleotide ribosomal RNA is filed under the name uncultured bacterium. RNAcentral describes it as "partial 16S ribosomal RNA". It matches the Rfam family "Bacterial small subunit ribosomal RNA", at positions 29 to 507 of the family's 1533-position model. The record is from RNAcentral.
AACGAACGCUGGCGGCAUGCCUAACACAUGCAAGUCGAACGAGACCUUCGGGUCUAGUGGCGCACGGGUGCGUAACGCGUGGGAACCUGCCCUUAGGUUCGGAAUAACUCCCCGAAAGGGGUGCUAAUACCGGAUAAUGUCUUCGGACCAAAGAUUUAUCGCCUUUGGAUGGGCCCGCGUUGGAUUAGCUAGUUGGUAGGGUAAAAGCCUACCAAGGCGACGAUCCAUAGCUGGUCUGAGAGGAUGAUCAGCCACACUGGGACUGAGACACGGCCCAGACUCGUACGGGAGGCAGCAGUGGGGAAUAUUGGACAAUGGGCGAAAGCCUGAUCCAGCAAUGCCGCGUGAGUGAUGAAGGCCUUAGGGUUGUAAAGCUCUUUUACCCGAGAUGAUAAUGACAGUACCGGGAGAAUAAGCUCCGGCUAACUCCGUG